UACGAAGGGGGCUAGCGUUGUUCGGAAUUACUGGGCGUAAAGCGCGCGCAGGCGGCUAUCCAAGUCAGUGGUGAAAGCCCGGAGCUCAACUCCGGAACUGCCAUUGAAACUGUUUAGCUUGAGUAUGAGAGAGGUGAGUGGAAUUCCCAGUGUAGAGGUGAAAUUCGUAGAUAUUGGGAAGAACACCGAUGGCGAAGGCAGCCAUCUGGACCGACACUGACGCUGAGGCGCGAAAGCAUGGGGAGCGAACAGG
This 253-nucleotide ribosomal RNA is filed under the name uncultured bacterium. Its description in RNAcentral is "partial 16S ribosomal RNA". It matches the Rfam family "Bacterial small subunit ribosomal RNA", at positions 524 to 776 of the family's 1533-position model. The record is from RNAcentral.